This is a long non-coding RNA of Manis javanica (Malayan pangolin), 1692 nucleotides long. RefSeq lists it as uncharacterized. Lineage: Eukaryota; Metazoa; Chordata; Mammalia; Pholidota; Manidae. The record is from RefSeq and is a predicted model, not a curated record.
UGGAGGGAAGCAGCGUGGGAGGCUAUUGGCUUUGCAUGGCGAGGGGAGCAUGCUGGGCGUCAGCUGCAGGCAGAUGCCGUCCCCUUAUGCUGCUGCCCCUCCGCCCCGGAACAGAUACCAACUAACACGGCCAGCCGCCGCCAACCGUCGCUCACCACCACCAGUUGCCGCCCCCAACAGACGCCAUCGCCAGCCAUGGACGCUGCCCUGCCCUCCCACUGCCAAGGCCGCCAACGCCUUGCCCUCGCCUCUGGCUGUGCACCAGCCGACGGCAGCCUCGGAGGUCCGCCUCGGGCACAGACACCUGCGUGUCCCACCCUGCAGACACCACGGCCCACCAUGGAGCACAGCCCGUCCCCGCUGCCUCCCACUGCUGACCCCGCUCCCCGCCACCCGCCGCUGCCUCUGCCGCCUCUCACAGCGCACCUGCAGACGGCGGGUUGGACUCUGCCCCCAGCCGCAGACCCCGCCGCUGAGGCGCCCCAGCCCGCAGCUCCCCGCAGCAGACUCCUCCCUACCCGAUCCCUCCCUGAGCCAACGCCGCCUGCCCCCUGGGGAUGGCUGCUUACGGACCUAAGUCACUCACAUGCUCAUACCUCAGCCAAUCCCAGGCAAGGGAGCAGACCCACGAGGCCAGAGCCCAGGGUCACCGACAGUGAAGCAGGAGGCAGGCAACUGGAGAGGCUGAGAACUGAGCAAACUUGGACUCAGUCAGGAAGACAGUGAGCGCAGUGGAAAACACCGGUCUGACAACCUCUGGCUGUCCUCAGGCCACCUGACAACACCAGCCCCAGAGGCAAACAGCCUUUCCCGUGAAAGGAGGACACCUGGAAAGAACAUGAACCAGACCCUGACAGACGGACAGGCUUCUGACCUGCAGAGAGGACUCCAGAGCCAAGCAGCACACAUGCAGCCCCGCAAAUUAGAAAACAUCUAGAAAGGAAGAAGAGAUCAGCACAACUGCAGAACUACAAGAAGUCCAAGAGAUGGGGCCUGGAAGAGGCAAAAAAUCAGACAGAAUGGAGCCACUGUGACCCUGAAGGAAUCGUGAAAUCCUACUGGAAGGAAUUUCAUUAUAGUGGUUUCUGGGUCUGUUACUGCAUCAUAUGGAUCCUGCUUUACUCAUGGGGAGACGCAUAUCCUGUUAGAAGAGAAAUCCUGCUUCCCAGGUUUGUUCUCAUUCUUGAGUCAGUUGACUUUAAUGCUGAGCAUCUAUGCUGUGAUUGUUCCUGGGGAUCUGAACAGUGCAGUUGAGGCACAGUGGACCCGGAGCAGGAAGACUUGGUAUACAGGGCCUGUCCUAGGGCUUGGACAGGUCACCUGCCACCAUGGAGACCAUCAGCAGCAAGCUUAGAUCAGGACUUUGGUUCAUGGUCAGUUCUGUCUCACAGAUGGUAAAUGACUGUGCAAGUUAAUGUCAGCAACCCAACCCCACUGCUCUGGACUGGACUGUAUCCCCCCAAUUCAUAUGUUGAAGCCUUAACCCCCAGUGUGACUAUAAUUGGAGUUUGGCCCUACAGGGGGGGUCCUUAUGGUUAAAUGAGGUCAUAAGCAUGGAGCCUCAUCCAAUAAAACUGAUGUCUUUCUAAGAAGAGGAAGAUAAAUUAGAGAUCUCUCUCUACAUACAUGCACAGAGAAAAGGGCAUGUGAAGACACAAUGAGAAGGCAGCCACUUACAAGCCCAGAAGAGAG